RNA transcript from Erinaceus europaeus (western European hedgehog), 2402 nucleotides. It is a transcript of the gene named forkhead box G1, with no coding region annotated. Lineage: Eukaryota; Metazoa; Chordata; Mammalia; Eulipotyphla; Erinaceidae. The record is from RefSeq and is a predicted model, not a curated record. The transcript has 3 exons.
UCGGGGGCCGCGGAGGGGGGCGCGGAGCAAGGCCGUGGCGCGGAGAGCUCCCACGGCGUAUAUCUGCGUGGCUCCGCGCGGCCGUGAGGCCCAGGCCUGCGGAGAGGGGGCGGUGUGCGCCCGGGAGGGGGGGGGGGCGGGAGCUAGGGGGCGGGGCCCGGGGCUGGGUGGGUGGGCCCGGCCACGCCGAUUGGUCGACGGCGGGGGAGACGCUCCCGCACGCCGCCGCCUCUGAUUGGCCCAGCGGUAGGAAAGGUUAAACCAAAAAUUUUUUUACAGCCCUAGUGUGCGCCUGUAGCUCGGGAAAUUAAUUGUGGCUAUAGCCGCCUCGAUCGCUGUCUCCCCAGCCUCGCCGCGGCCGCUCCGGGACGCGCCCGCCCGCAGCCCGGCUCUCCCCCCCUUUGGGCUGCUGCUGCUGCUGCUGCUGUGACUGCUGCUGCGAGAGGAGGAGGAGGUGGAGGAGGAGGAGGAGGAGGAGGAGGAGGAGGAGGAAGCAGAAAAGGGGGGGGAGCGGGGGGUGGGGGGGAGACCAAGAAGUAGAGUUGGGAGCGAGGGAGCUUCACCCCCGGGGCGGUGGUUGUUUUUUUUUUUUUUUCCCUUUCUUUUUUUUCUUUUUCCUUUUUUUUUUUUUUUUCCCCUUCCUCCCCCUUCUAACUCCUGAGGGGUGGUUGCUGCUUUUGCUACAUGACUUGCCAGCGCCGGAGCCUGCGGUCCAACUGCGCUGCUGUCGGAGCGCUCAGUGCCGCCGCCGCCACCCGCGCCGCCCGCGCCCCGCUUGGCUCCCACCGGCCGCCGCUGCCCCGCUCCCGCUCCCGCUCCGCCGCCGCCGCCGCCGCCCCUCGACGACUGGGUGAUGCUGGACAUGGGAGAUAGGAAAGAGGUGAAAAUGAUCCCCAAGUCCUCGUUCAGCAUCAACAGCCUGGUGCCUGAGGCGGUCCAGAACGACAACCACCACGCGAGCCACGGCCACCACAACAGCCACCACCCCCAGCACCACCACCACCACCACCACCAUCACCACCACCCUCCGCCGCCCGCCCCGCAACCGCCGCCGCCGCCGCAGCCGCAGCAGCCGCCGCCGCCGCCACCUCAGGCGCCUCAGCCCUCUCAGGCGCGGGGCGCCCCGGCCGCCGACGACGACAAGGGGCCCCAGCAGCUGCUGCUGCCGCCGCCGCCGCCCUCGGCCGCCGGCCUGGACGGAGCCAAAGCCGACGGGCUGGGCGGCAAGGGCGAGCCGGGCGGGGGCCCCGGGGAGCUGGCGUCCGUGGGGCCGGACGAGAAGGAGAAAGGCGCCGGCGCCGGAGGGGAGGAGAAGAAGGGGGCGGGCGAGGGCGGCAAGGACGGGGAGGGGGGCAAGGAGGGCGAGAAGAAGAAUGGCAAGUACGAGAAGCCGCCCUUCAGCUACAACGCGCUCAUCAUGAUGGCCAUCCGGCAGAGCCCCGAGAAGCGGCUGACGCUCAACGGCAUCUACGAGUUCAUCAUGAAGAACUUCCCGUACUACCGCGAGAACAAGCAGGGAUGGCAGAACUCCAUCCGCCACAACCUGUCCCUCAACAAGUGCUUCGUCAAGGUGCCGCGCCACUACGACGACCCGGGCAAGGGCAACUACUGGAUGUUGGACCCGUCGAGCGACGACGUGUUCAUCGGCGGCACGACGGGCAAGCUGAGGCGCCGCUCCACCACGUCGCGGGCCAAGCUGGCGUUCAAGCGCGGCGCGCGCCUCACCUCCACGGGCCUCACCUUCAUGGACCGCGCCGGCUCCCUCUACUGGCCCAUGUCGCCCUUCCUGUCCCUGCACCACCCCCGCGCCAGCAGCACUUUGAGUUACAACGGCACCACGUCGGCCUACCCCAGCCACCCCAUGCCCUACAGUUCCGUGUUGACUCAGAACUCGCUGGGCAACAACCACUCCUUCUCCACAGCCAACGGGCUGAGCGUGGACCGGCUGGUCAACGGGGAGAUCCCGUACGCCACGCACCACCUGACGGCCGCCGCGCUCGCAGCCUCGGUGCCGUGCGGCCUGUCGGUGCCCUGCUCCGGGACCUACUCCCUCAACCCCUGCUCGGUCAACCUGCUCGCGGGCCAGACCAGUUACUUUUUCCCUCACGUCCCGCACCCGUCAAUGACUUCGCAGAGCAGCACGUCCAUGAGCGCCCGGGCCGCGUCGUCCUCCACGUCUCCGCAGGCCCCCUCGACCCUGCCCUAUUCUCCCGAGGUCAUCUGAAGGAUGCAAUGAGAAAGAGAUGUUUUAAGGCUGGGAGCACUAUGACCCCCAAGAUCGACUUUUCUCCUUGGUCAGUACAAUGAAGGCUGAUGACAUGAUCAUCCACUUUGCAUCAAUGGAUACUUGCUCAUCGGUGUGCUAUUAUAAGACAGAAGUUCUUCAACUCAAAGAAGAGUGG